Molecule: long non-coding RNA, 1819 nt
Organism: Cyprinus carpio carpio
Lineage: Eukaryota; Metazoa; Chordata; Actinopteri; Cypriniformes; Cyprinidae
Source: Ensembl
UCUGUGUUUCCGUUCUCCUGCCUUGUUUGUUUCCAUGGUUUUUGAUUUAAUCAGCUCCACACCUGUUUCAGUUCUCCCAAUUAAGUUUAUAUUACUUAAGUCUGUGUUCCCUUAGAUUCCUUUGUCUGCUAUCAUUUGGAUUUGUGUUUGUGCCUGUUCUCUCCUGUGGAUUAUUAAAAUAACUCUUUGAUUAUACUCCUUGGUCGUGCGCCUUGUUUUGGACACCACACACGUGACAGAAUAGCAGACCCUCAAAACCGUCCAGCUCUUGUGCCUGAAGCAGUUGGACCAUUCGCUGGAGGAUCAUACUAGGGACUUUCUCGGUCCCAAAAGAAGAUUUUGCUCCUUUUGUGGAGUGGGUGCUGGUGAACUGUGGAUCUUAAUUCACCGUCUGCCCUGCUGAGGAGGAUAUCUCCAGCCCCACUCCCGAACCAGAGACCAGCCAGCUGUCAUCCAGCUGCAUGGAGCAAAUGCCAGAGCCCACCACAGCUUGCCAUGAUUAAAGAGCUAGCACCAUUUAAAGCGACAGAGCCAAUCAUCGCCCAGGGCUAGGACUCGACAGGGCGACUGACCAGGUGUGUGAGCCAGAAACACUGUCCGUAGUUGGAAUACUGGAGGAGAUUGAGGGCUUGGAGGAGAGCCCCACCCACACUCCUGCGACUGAGGGUGAGCUACAUCUGGUUUCUGGGAAUCACAUGGAGGAACUUGUGGACAUUUUUCAAAAAUUCCUGAUUCCUGAAUCUCCUGCGUCUCCGCUGGUUCCGUCCAGCUCAAGUCCUCCUGUGUUCCCUCCCAGCCUCCCUUUCCCACCUCCUCUUAAACGAGCCAGUUCCUCAGCUCCAUCUCUGCUGGUUCCUCUCAGUCCCUCAGCUCACCCUCAGUCAGCGCCAUCUGGGCGCUCUGAUCCGCCUCGCGACUUCCAGUCUCCAGCUCCACCUUGGCGUGAAGAUCAACUGUCUCUGCUUUCAGCCUUCGAGUCCUGGACUCCACCUCGGUCCUUCGACCCAUCAGCUCCGCCUUGGCAAAUAGCUCCCUCGUCUCCACCAUGGCCCGUCAUCCCACCAGCUCCACUUGGGCUCCCUCGUCCCUCCGGCUCCACCUUGGUCAGUCAUUGACCAUCUGCCACCUUGGGACUCCACUCCUCUGGCUCUGUCAGACUCCUCCUUCCCUCCGGCUCCGCCUCCAACCUCAGUCUCUCUGGCUCCGCCUCGGUCUUCCGGAGCCCCGCUGCUGCCUCAGUCGUCUGAGCCUUCUGCUCUGCCUUGGCCCUCCAGAUCCUCUGUGUCACCCUGGCUCUGUGGCUGCUCUGCUCCAUCCUGGGCUCCUACUCCACCUGCGUCAUCUCCGUCAGUCGGCCCCCUGGUGUUGUCGGCCCUAUCUCCACCAUGGCUCCUCCUGCUGUCGACUCCACCGUGGGCCACUAUCCUGGCUCCUCCUGCUACAGGAUCCUCCCUGGCUCCUCCAUCCAUCUACUCCACCCUAUGAACUAUGCCCAUUUCCCAUUGCCUGCCCCUUGCCUGCUCCACGCCCACCUCCUGAACCCCUAUCCUCCCUCCUCUGUUGGACUUUUUGUCGGUGUGAGGAUGCACCAUUCCAGGAGGGGGUGAACUGUCACAUCUAUGAUCUGUUUUGGUUUAGUUUUCUGUGUUUCCGUUCUCCGGCCUUGUUUGUUUCCAUGGUUUUUGAUUAAAUUAGUUCUAAACGUUUCAGUUCUCCCAAUUAAGUUUCUAUUAAGUCUGUGUUCCCCUAGAUUCCUUUGUCUGCUAUCGUUGGGAUUGGUGUUUGGUUGUGCCUAUUCUUUCCUGUGGAUUAUUAAAAC